Acanthopagrus latus (yellowfin seabream) is the source of this 8601-nucleotide RNA transcript. It is a transcript of the gene named serine/threonine-protein kinase DCLK2-like, with no coding region annotated. The transcript is spliced from 17 exons. NCBI's taxonomy places the organism in Eukaryota, Metazoa, Chordata, Actinopteri, Spariformes, Sparidae. The record is from RefSeq and is a predicted model, not a curated record.
AUUUAGUAAAUAAAAUAAAUAAAUAAAUAAAAAAUAAAUAAAAAUACAAAUGAUGUUGUUCACCUUUUUAUUCUAAAUAUGUUGGUGCGGAUGUAAAAUGGGUGAUUUUAUGACAGUAAAACUAAAGUGAACGUGAGACAAAAGGCAGAGAGGAGGAGGAGGAGGAGGAGGAGGGGGACGUUGUCAUCACGUACAGCCGCGGAGGAGCGGGGGGAGGCGGGGAGGAGGAGCGGGGAGGGGCGGGGUGUUCAGCCGGUCUCUGCUCUCUCUCUGCUGCAGCGGCCAUGCUGCUGUCCGCCGCCCGUCUCGGUGCAUCCCGGUCCUCCGCCGGUGUUUCCUGCCCGCCGCUGCAUCCCUGAAUCCCGGGUUAGCGGACCGGCCUGGACCGGGUUGUGAGCGGAUCAGUCCGGCUGGAUCCACCGGAGCAGACCGGAACAGGCACCGGGGGGGAAGAAGAGAAGGAAGGAAGGAAGGAAGGACGGAAGGAAGGAAGGGAGCCUCCAUAGCAACAAACCGGUCUCACGGCAUUAUUGUGAUGGACGGAUGCUGAAGACCCACCACCGCCGCCGCCGCCCCCUAAAACCAGCUGGAUUACCGGGUCUGACCCGGGUUUGUCCAGGAUCUACAUUACAAUCGGAGCGAAACAGUGCAGGAAGGUCACUGCGAGGACACGACCGAAUUAUCAAGUAGACGUCUGCCGGGAGAACUGUGGAUUUAAAUCCUUCAUUCCUGCUCGAAAUCAGCAAAGUGAGAUAGUUGAAGGUGAAGACGGUUCCUUAAUUUAGCAGUCCGAGGUCCGGUUCUAGUGGACUUCCACUGAUCUCUGGAUUAAAUUAAUACUUGAAUUUCAGAAGUCUUAGAGUUUAGAAGUUCUGACAGUGUCCCCCUUUAAAGGUUUCGUUUGAGUAGAGGACGACUGGAUGUGCAACACGGAUCCCGGGACCACGUCCUCCAUCUUGUUACUGGUAUUAGAACUGGUUUACGGGUAAACAAAAGGUACCAACACCCAGGACCGGAUACAGGUAGAAAACACCCGACCGACUGGACUGCAAAGACCUCAGAAGUCUUGAGGGUUACGGUUGUAUUUAGAGAAUCCACAACCAUGUUUUGAGGAAUACAACCAGAUCCAACUGGUCUAUAACAAGGAUACUGGUCUGUCAUAACGCUGAAUGGGAUUAUAAGAUAUUCUGGUACCAGCUACUCAACCGAGGUUCUGAAGUGAAGAGUCCCUGUUCAUGGUUUCUGGAAGAUGAAUCUUGAGUAGCAGGAUCUGUGCUGAACUCUUCCGGACCACAUCAUGUCUUUGAGCAAGACCCUCGAGCUGGAGCACUUCGAUGAACGUGAGAAAGUUCGCCGCGGACGCUCCACCCGCACCAAGAGGGAUGACUCCACCGCCAGCGCCGGCGGCGGCGGGUCCGGGCCCAGCUCCCGGGGCAGCAGCCUGGUCCCCAGCCCCGCCCACAGCGCCAACUGCAGCUACUACCGGACCCGAACCCUGCAGGCACUCACCUCGGAGAAAAAGGCCAAAAAGGUGCGGUUCUAUCGCAACGGAGACCGCUACUUCAAGGGUCUGGUGUACGCCGUGUCCAGUGACCGGUUCCGAUCCUACGACGCGCUGCUGAUGGAGCUGACGCGCUCGCUGGCAGACAACCUGCACCUGCCGCAAGGAGUCCGGACCAUCUACACCAUCGAUGGCAGCAAGAAGAUCACCAGUAUGGACGAGCUGGUCGAAGGUGAGUGUUACGUCUGCGCCUCCAACGAGCCGUACCGGAAGGUCGAGUACACCAAGAUCUCCGUCCCGAGCUGGAAGCCCGGUGCCAGCGCCGGGAUCGGCCCCGCCGCCUCGACCCGGCCCGCGACGGCGUCCGCAGGGGUGUCGGCGAGCACCUCCGCCCCGAAAGAGCGUGUUGAAGUUCGGGAGGGGAGGGAGAGCAAAGACUACAUCAAACCCAAGCUGGUGACGGUGAUCCGCAGCGGCGUGAAGCCUCGCAAGGCGGUGAGGAUCCUGCUGAACAAGAAGACGGCGCACUCGUUCGAUCAGGUGCUGGCCGACAUCACGGAGGCCAUCAAGCUCGACUCCGGCGCCGUGAAGAGGCUCUACACGCUGGACGGGAAGCAGCUGACCUGUCUGCAGGACUUCUUCGGGGAUGACGAUGUGUUCAUGGCGUGCGGGCCGGAGAAGUUUCGCUACGCUCAGGACGACUUCGUGCUCACACACAGCACCAAAACACCGACUUUUGUCAACGAGUGCAGAACCAAGGGGUCUCGCUCCGCCGGCCCGGCCAAGACUACAACUCCCAAGACUCCCAGCGGCUCCGGCUUCUCCGCCUCCAGGGCUGCACCCAAAGGCCCGGCGAGAACGAAGUCUCCUGGUCCAGCCAAUGAGGCGUCAGGAUCGCAGUCAGGUGGGAGGACGUCACGGUCCGGCACCUCCUCCACGAGUCCGGGGACACGGCGCAGCCUCAAGAUGUCUCCUCGUCGAACUUCCUCCACCGAUGUUAACGGAGAGGCGGAGCAGCCAGACGACACCGCCGUCGAAGUGAACGGUAAUCGCUCUGUUUCCUCCUCCAUCAUCAACGAGAAGUACCAAGUGGGCAAAGUGAUCGGAGACGGGAACUUCGCGGUGGUCAAGGAGUGCGUGGAGAGGUCGACGGGACAGGAGUACGCUCUGAAGAUCAUCGACAAAGCUCGCUGCUGUGGGAAGGAGCACCUGAUAGAAAACGAGGUGGCGGUGCUGCGGAGGGUCCGACAUCCGAGCAUCAUCCAGUUAAUCGAGGUGGAUGAAACUCCCAGUCAGCUGUUCCUGGUCAUGGAGCUCGUCAAGGGCGGCGACCUGUUUGACGCCAUCACCUCCUCCACUAAGUACAGCGAGCGGGACGCCAGCGCCAUGGUGUUCAACCUGGCCGGAGCCAUCAAGUACCUGCACCGGAUGAACAUCGUCCACCGAGACAUCAAACCGGAGAACCUGCUGGUGUGCGAGUAUCCGGACGGCACUAAAUCUCUGAAGCUGGGCGACUUCGGUCUGGCGACGGUGGUGGAGGGACCGCUGUACACCGUGUGCGGCACGCCGACGUACGUCGCCCCGGAGAUCAUCGCCGAGACCGGGUAUGGUCUGAAGGUGGACAUCUGGGCGGCCGGAGUGAUCACCUACAUCCUGCUGUGUGGAUUCCCUCCCUUCAGAAGUGAGAACAACGUGCAGGAGGAGCUGUUCGAUCAGAUCCUCAGAGGGAAGCUGGAGUUUCCGUCUCCGGACUGGGACGCCAUCAGCCUGCCGGCCAAGAUGCUGAUUAGCCAGAUGCUGCAGGUGAACGUGGACACUCGAUUCACUGCCGAGGAGGUCCUGUCGCACCCCUGGGUGACGGACGAGGCUCCUGUGGACUCCAACACUGUGAGCAGCACUGAAGACCAGACCAGCGGAGACACACUGGAACCAGAACACGAGUCCCCGAUCCUGGAGACCAAACAAGUUCCUUCCCCUCUGGUCUGAACCACAUCCCCCCUUUUUCUCAUCGACUGGAAACCAAACACAGCUCGUCAGGAAGUCGUCCUGUUUUUCUUUUGAAUGAACACUAAAUGAGUUUAAUCACCUCAAGAGUUGAACAAACCCUGUUUGCUCUUUUGGAAACCAAAUUAGUUUUAUCUUCUGGAAGCCAAACGAGUCCACCACCAUCGAGUCCAGUAUCAGACCCCAUUUCACCACCUGGAAACCAAAUGACUUCUCUCAGACCUGAACUAGAAAACAAGGCGUGUUAUCAUCUGGAAACCAAACAAGUUCCCUUAUUACUGUUUUUUGGACAUUUACGUCUUCUGAAACCCAAACAGAACUUAUCACGUACAGUUUCCCCGCCUCUGGUCCGGAACACCUUCCUUUUUUUUGUCAUGGGAACAAAACCAGUUCCCUUCCCAUCUCUAUUCAUCUACUGAAAAACUGAGCAAGUUCCCUUAAAUCUGGUCCAGAAUACAUCCUGUUGAAUGUACGAGUGUCCUCACCUCGGGUCUAAAACACAUCACCAUUCAUCUGCUGGAAGCUGAGCAAGUUCCCUUGAACCACCCCCAGUACAUCCUUUUUAAUCUACUUGAAACCAAAUUAGUUCCCUCCCCUUUGGCCUAGAAAACGUCCUUGUUUGUUUUACUUUACACCCAAAACCAGGUCCCUCCCAAUAUUUGGUCUAGAACACUUUUCAUCUACUGAAAACUGAGCAAGUUCCCUUAAAUCUUGUCCUGAGUACAUCCUUUUUAAUCUACUUCAAACGCAGUUAGUUCCCUCACAGCGGGUCAGGAACAUGUUUCCUUUUACGUACUGGAACCGAAACAAACUUCCUGAAAUAUGCUCUCAAACUUGACCAGUUAUCCCACUGACAAGUGGAGUUCCCUCGCCUCUUAGGUCUAGGAGGCACCCAAUUUCAUGAACUAGAAACCAGAACGGUUCCCAAAUCUGUGAACUAGAGCACGCCCCCUCUAAUCAACUGGGAACCAACAAGUUCCCUCACACAUGGUCAAGAACUUGACCUGUUUUUUUAUUUACUGGUAACCAAAUAAGUUCCCUCGAGUCAAGAACUUCUUGGUGUCUACUGGACACAAACUAAGUUUCCCUCCUGCUGGUCAUAAAGAAGUUCUGUUUUAUCUACUGGAAACUGAGCAGGACUCCUAAACUUGAGUCCAGUCUUUAUCUCGUAGAAGCGGUCCUCACCUGUGGUCCAGACCAACACUAAACUGACUGAAGACUCUCAUGAGUCCUGUUUCUGCUGCUGCACUGGAAAGUAUUUAAAUUCUCUUUGACGAUCUCCGUUGAACUUGUUUAAAAGGUCCAUUUUGUUUUGGCUGGACAUUAAUGAAGUCGCCUCACUGCUGCCUGGAGGACACCCACCAUAUCAACACUGGGACGCCAUGAAGGUGCUAUUGGACUCAUCCCUGUCAUCACCCGGUGUUCUCAAGGGACUGGACCCAUCUCGUGAAAACGACCCGUACCUCUGGUCUGAAUGAUGAACUCGGAGGCUCUGAAAAGCCUCAAACCACUUUCAUACGGAUACAAACAGCUGGUUCACUGGUUCCCUCUGGUGUAGGGAUUAUUUUCUCCGUGGUCCCUGACGCUUGGUGGCCAGGAUGUCUUCCAUUUAUUCUGGGAAACGGUCCAGUUCCUCCUGCCUUUACCCUACAGCUCUCCUUCCACCGGCCUGAAGGACGUUUCUCACUUCCUCUACUUGGCGCCCACCGACCGGAGGAGAUACGAGUACUGUGCCUGUUUAUGCUGCUGAUGAAUUCCCCUUAAUAUCCUAAAUCUCAGCCGUUUCUUCACCGGUUCAGCUCCUCAGAUCCCAGCUCCUGUCAUCAGCUGUAUAGACGGAUGAGGCUCAUUGUUUCAAAUAUUUUGACAUCUUGGUAUGAAAGAGUCUCAUGUCUGUAACAUAAAAGAUGGAGCAAGAGUUGUGGUCAUUAGCCUAGCUUAGCUUGAAUACUAAAGGAUACUAAAAUGGGGAAAGAGGAAGCCUGGUUACUCCAGAAGUUCACACAUUUUUGAGCUUUGAAGCUGUUUCCCGUUUCCCUGUUUCCCUGUUUCAAGUCUUUAAGCUAAGCUAGGCUAAGCUAGGCUAAUCAUCUCCGGAAUCCACCAGAACAUGAGCUCGUCCAGAUUUUCUUUCAACCCAAAUCUUGUGUUUAAAAACCAAAUUUCCGCUCGUAUUUCAGUAGCAUUGAUUGUUUAAAACCUUUAACUUACAUACUGAUGUUCUGAAUAAAUACAGACCUACUAAACGAUGAGCCUCAUCUACGAAGACUCAGUGUCCUCGUCCUCUCCACUGAAGGACACUUUCCAUCACCCUGCUCCCGUCCUUCCUCGUCCCCCCACCCACUCUUCGUACUGUAACUCAAGUCAACUGAGUGACUUCCUAAAGAACAAUCUCAACAACCUUUUUGCAGUAUGACUGAGGUAAAGGGCCCAUUCCAGUCCAAACCCAGAGCUCCCUGCCUCUCUCCUCCUGCCUGGCAGCAACCGGAGGAUAAAACAUGCUGUAUAUACUGUAAAUAUCACUCUUGUCUGUUGGUGUCUAUCUGUGUGAGUCAGUUGUGAAGUAGGGAAAUAGUAGCAGUUUGAAAAAAAAAUAGUAAAAAAAACAAACAAAAAAAACACUACAAUGAAAAGAAACAAUCUCAUCAUAGACACGAUGUUUCAGCACCCUGAAAAAACCUUGUUUUUCCUCAAAGUUCUAGAUUUUAAAGACGAUUAUUCUCAUUGAUAUCAAAAAACUUUGGACAUUUUUCUAAAUCUACAGUGGUGGAAGGUACCUAAGUAUGUACAAGCAUCAGAGUAUUUCUAUUUCAUUACUCAAACUUUGACGAUUUGAUGCCUUUCUUGGUCUCACAGUGUUGUUCCAAUAUUUAUAAACCUUGGCCCCUCGUUGUCGAAUGCCCCUAACAAAUGGGCCCAACCCUCAAAGACCCUCAUACAUCAUUAGUCGUCAUCGACAGCUUUUAUGUAAACGAGUGUGAUCGGACCGAUAUGCCGUCUCCAGUUGCGAGGGUUUCUCUUGCAUUCUGUCCUGUUAUUGUCACAAGUACCGUUUGUCUGAUGGAGACAGAAAAACACAGAAUGUAACAUUAGCAAGCAAACGAGCAGGGAUUGUUUUCUGAAACGUCCAUGUAGUGCGAACACUGUCCUACAACUCCAUCCCAACAAGAAUCAGGACACCUUCAGCUAGACGAUUAAAAAAAACAAAGGAGCGUAGUGGAGUUGGGCCGUCGGUUUAAUACAUUAAUAAAGGGUACAGAAGGUUUUGGCAUGGAGUAUUUUUUCUCAGCAGGGUUUCAGUCCGAGUACUCGCUCCACCACCGCUGACGCUAAAGUAACUCAGAUGAGAUUCAAGGUUUCUGAGGGUCGCUGAUGAACUGUAAUGAAAGAGUUCUUCGCCGAAAAGAGUCCCCGAUCAAUCGGGUGGCAGACGUUGCCUAGCAACAGAGGCCUGGACAGCGACGGACCUCUUUCCUUAUAUGGACACGUGUCUGUGAGGUGUGACAUAGUGGGUCACCAACCAAUCAUAUCGCUCCAUCCACACAUCCAUCAUGUUGUCUGUUGAUGUUACAGCUCAUACGAAUCACUGAGGGCGAAGGUGUGGGGUCACGAAGUCCGUCGUCACCUGUGUUGACCUGACGUAGUGUUGUGACCUUUGACCUUAGCACGACCUUUCCAUGGCCUUGACCUUUGGCGGGAGUCGCUGAUGAAGAGUUGAACGAUGUUCUUGUAUUGAGGACGCAUUGCAAACAACGACGAGACCAUUAAAAAAAAAAAAAAACAAAGUCGUAUCUAUUUUUCUUUAACGUAUCGACUCAGACAAUUUUCUCAGUCAAAUUUACGUUUACUUAGCAGCUCAAACAGCAGCGUCACUUUCACAUCGGUCCAAAUUUGAGUCAAACGCUUUCGAUUAAGUAGAAAUUCAGCAGUACGAAGUUUUCUAGCAGGAACGUGUGGCUACGAUCCAGGAAAUUUGAGCGGCGGUAGAUUUGUUCAGUCUGGUGGCGUUGGAGGCGACUCACUGUUUCGCCUUGUUAACGUCAUCAGGCUCAACAAGAAGAGUCCAACUCUUUCAGUCAGCGGCUCGGCCUCUGACCUUCUAUGCCUGCUAUGAACCCAGUAGUCUUAAUUCUUUUCUCUUUGCUUUAAACCAAAAGGAGCCUUCUGUUGACGCCGUUAGCGGUGCAGCCACACCUGCGUCGACACGCUGCUGAAAUCCUCUCCGUCCGACGCUGACGUGCAAUCAGUGAAAAGCAGCACAGACGAGUUUUGGACGUUGAGAAGAGAACGGAUCUUAAAAAAUGUAAAUUCAGUCUUUAUCUCUUCACCCAUGGAGAAUACGCGACAAAAAUCCAUGAACUGCUCCUUUAAUUUCCAACCCAAUCCACCUGGUUCCUCCGUCCAGAAAACACCGGAGUGGAUUUCCGUGAUGUGACUCGGGGUGGCUGCAGUUUUUAACCCUCUGUGUGUUUUUAAUGAGAUGCAGUGUGAAUGUGUGUGUGGUCAUUUCCCAUCAUGCCUCAUGUUAGACAGGAACUGUUUUUUUUAGUUUUUAUUUUUAAUGAAGUGCAGUAGACAAAUUAGGAGUUUGAACCCAACACGGACUGGUUUUCCUGAAAAGGAUCUGUGAGGUCCAGUUCAGUCAGAGGAUUUGUGCUGAAUCGUUUCAUUCUGUGAGAAGUCGUCACACAUUUUAGUUUUUAAGACUCGAUCUUCAACACAGAAAGAAGCCCCCUGACGUGUGAAAAGGCUUUUACUUCUGUAAAGAUUACGAGCUCAGACUUUCUCCAGGUUGAUGCACUGCGAGUGUUUUAACUUCUAAAUGAAACCUGCUGCUGCUUUGUGUUUCUGCCAGAUACUUUCAGGAGAACUGGUCCCGGUUGAGGUGGAAGGAGGUGUGAGGAGAACAGUGUUUUGAAGACAUGUUGUCGACAUGUUUUAAUGCUAACAACGAUCUGUAAUGUGACGUGUGUUGAUAUGAAACUUGUGUGUUUGUGGCGAUCAGGCUGCAGGCGUCGAAACAAAAAGCCUGACGUGCAUCGAGAAAAGAAGCGAUCGACUGAAAAUAAAAAGCUGAUGCAGUGGCAUCAAGUUAA